This 380-nucleotide ribosomal RNA is filed under the name uncultured eukaryote. RNAcentral describes it as "partial 18S ribosomal RNA". It matches the Rfam family "Eukaryotic small subunit ribosomal RNA", at positions 592 to 976 of the family's 1831-position model. The record is from RNAcentral.
CAAUAGCGUAUAUUAAAGUUGUUGCAGUUAGAACGCUCGUAGUCGGAUUUCGGGGCGAGCCUUCCGGUCUGCCGAUGGGUACGCACUGGUCGGCGCGUCCUUCCUUCCGGAGACCGUGCCUACUCUUAACUGAGCGGGGGCGGGAGACGGAACGUUUACUUUGAAAAAAUCAGAGUGUUUCAAGCAGGCAGCUUGCUCUUGCAUGGAUUAGCAUGGGAUAAUGAAAUAGGACUUUGGUGCUAUUUUGUUGGUUUCGAACACCGAAGUAAUGAUGAGAAGGGACAGUCAGGGGCACUCGUAUUCCGCCGAGAGAGGUGAAAUUCUCAGACCAGCGGAAGACGAACCACUGCGAAAGCAUUUGCCAGGGAUGUUUUCACUGA